Molecule: long non-coding RNA, 539 nt
Filed under: Homo sapiens (human)
Lineage: Eukaryota; Metazoa; Chordata; Mammalia; Primates; Hominidae
Description: HSALNT0331014
Source: RNAcentral
AAGGAUGCGUGAGCACAAAGAAAAGACCCUCAGAGGACACAGUGAGAAAAUGGUUAUCUGCAAGCCAAGGAGAGACCAAACCUGCCGGCACCUUAAUCUUGGACUCUCAGCCUCCAGAACUAAGAUCCAACCAAGAUUCUACCAAGAAGAUCGUGGGGGAUCCAACGAGAUGAACCCUGAUGAUCUUUGUGUGGUCUCCAAAUUGUGCGGCCACAUUUGGAGGAAGCGAGAUGACUACACAGUGAAGCACAGUGAAGGGGAGGCCUGAGGAGCCACGAAGACCGGUAGCACAUUCUGGAUUUUGUCAAGUCUUAGCCGGGUGCCCUGAGCAAGUCCCCUCGGCUGUCUUGAGCCUCAGUCUCCUUCUCUGUAAAACAGGAAUAAUAAUAACCACGUGAAUGGCACAGAGAUUUUUAAGAUGCAGUUAUUACUAUUUUUUAAACGUCAAUUGAUGCCAGGAAUAUUCUGCCAGCCCUCCAAGGGUGGUUUCAGCAGGCUUACUUCCUGGUCAUAAUCACUUCCUCCAUCCCCGGCUUCUG